Molecule: small nucleolar RNA, 140 nt
Organism: Arvicanthis niloticus (Nile rat)
Lineage: Eukaryota; Metazoa; Chordata; Mammalia; Rodentia; Muridae
Product: small nucleolar RNA SNORA48
Source: RefSeq, a predicted model, not a curated record
UGCCCUGGCAAUGGGCAAAGAAACACCUUGUUGGUGGUGUUCUUAUAUCAGUCAGGAGCAGAGCAGAUGGCAGUCCAGUGUUCAUCCUAGCUUAAUGCCUGAUUUGGUGGCCAAAGCUGUUUUAUGCCUAUGACUCAUAA